AAAACUUUCAACAACGGAUCUCUUGGUUCUCGCAUCGAUGAAGAACACAGCGAAUUGCGAUAGGUAUUGUGAAUUGCAGAUUUUCGUGAAUCAUUGAAUCUUUGAACGCACAUUGCGCCCUCUGGUAUUCCAGGGGGCAUGCCUGUUUGAGCGUCAUU
Molecule: ribosomal RNA, 158 nt
Filed under: Aspergillus niger
Lineage: Eukaryota; Fungi; Ascomycota; Eurotiomycetes; Eurotiales; Aspergillaceae
Description: 5.8S ribosomal RNA
Rfam family: 5.8S ribosomal RNA
About the family: 5.8S ribosomal RNA (5.8S rRNA) is a component of the large subunit of the eukaryotic ribosome.
Source: RNAcentral